RNAcentral lists this ribosomal RNA (2892 nucleotides) under Stenotrophomonas maltophilia. Its description in RNAcentral is "23S ribosomal RNA". It matches the Rfam family "Bacterial large subunit ribosomal RNA". Lineage: Bacteria; Pseudomonadati; Pseudomonadota; Gammaproteobacteria; Lysobacterales; Lysobacteraceae. The record is from RNAcentral.
GUUAUAUGGUCAAGCGAAUAAGCGCACACGGUGGAUGCCUUGGCGGUCAGAGGCGAUGAAGGACGUGGCAGCCUGCGAAAAGUAUCGGGGAGCUGGCAACAAGCUUUGAUCCGGUAAUGUCCGAAUGGGGAAACCCACCCGCUUGCGGGUAUCCUGCAGUGAAUACAUAGCUGCUGGAAGCGAACCUGGUGAACUGAAAUAUCUAAGUAACCAGAGGAAAAGAAAUCAACCGAGAUUCCGUAAGUAGCGACGAGCGAACGCGGACUAGCCCUUAAGCUGGAUUGGUUCUAGGAAAACGCUCUGGAAAGAGCGGCCAUAGAAGGUGAUAGCCCUGUAUCUGAAAGGGCCAUUCCAGUGAAGACGAGUAGGGCGGGGCACGUGAAACCCUGUCUGAACAUGGGGGGACCAUCCUCCAAGGCUAAAUACUACUGACCGACCGAUAGUGAACCAGUACCGUGAGGGAAAGGCGAAAAGAACCCCGGAGAGGGGAGUGAAAUAGAACCUGAAACCGUGUGCGUACAAGCAGUAGGAGCUCCGCAAGGAGUGACUGCGUACCUUUUGUAUAAUGGGUCAGCGACUUACUGUUCGUGGCAAGCUUAACCGUAUAGGGGAGGCGAAGGGAAACCGAGUCUGAUAAGGGCGCAUAGUCGCGGGCAGUAGACCCGAAACCGGGUGAUCUAGUCAUGCCCAGGGUGAAGGUGCGGUAACACGCACUGGAGGCCCGAACCCACUCCCGUUGCAAAGGUAGGGGAUGAGGUGUGAUUAGGAGUGAAAAGCUAAUCGAACCCGGAGAUAGCUGGUUCUCCUCGAAAGCUAUUUAGGUAGCGCCUCAUAUGUAUCCUCUCGGGGGUAGAGCACUGUUAUGGCUAGGGGGUCAUCGCGACUUACCAAACCAUUGCAAACUCCGAAUACCGAGACGGACUGUAUGGGAGACACACGGCGGGUGCUAACGUCCGUCGUGAAAAGGGAAACAACCCAGACCCACAGCUAAGGUCCCAAAUUCACUGCUAAGUGGAAAACCAUGUGGAAAGGCACAGACAGCCAGGAGGUUGGCUUAGAAGCAGCCACCCUUUAAAGAAAGCGUAAUAGCUCACUGGUCGAGUCGGUCUGCGGGGAAGAUUUAACGGGGCUAAGCAGUGAACCGAAGCUUGGGGUGCAUACUUUGUAUGCGCGGUAGAGGAGCGUUCCGUAAGCCGUUGAAGGUGGAUUGAGAAGUCUGCUGGAGGUAUCGGAAGUGCGAAUGCUGACAUGAGUAACGAUAAUGCGGGUGAAAAACCCGCACGCCGAAAGCCCAAGGUUUCCUUGCGCAACGUUAAUCGGCGCAGGGUGAGUCGGCCCCUAAGGCGAGGACGAAAGUCGUAGUCGAUGGGAAGCAGGUUAAUAUUCCUGCACCUCGCGUAAGUGCGAUGGAGGGACGGAGAAGGUUAGGUGUACCAGGCGUUGGUUGUCCUGGGGAAAGGCGGUAGGUUUGGAUCUUUGGCAAAUCCGGGAUCCUUUAAGACCGAGCACCGAGACGAGCCUUUAAGGCGAAGUCACUGAUACCACGCUUCCAGGAAAAGCUCCUAAGCUUCAGCUUACGCAGACCGUACCGUAAACCGACACAGGUGGGUAGGAUGAGAAUUCUCAGGCGCUUGAGAGAACUCGGGUGAAGGAACUAGGCAACAUGGCACCGUAACUUCGGGAGAAGGUGCACCCUUUUUGGUGGCUCGUGCGAGCUAUAGCUGAAGAGGGUCGCAGUAACCAGGCCGCUGCGACUGUUUAUCAAAAACACAGCACUCUGCAAACACGAAAGUGGACGUAUAGGGUGUGACGCCUGCCCGGUGCUGGAAGGUUAAUUGAUGGGGUCAGCCGCAAGGCGAAGCUCUUGAUCGAAGCCCCAGUAAACGGCGGCCGUAACUAUAACGGUCCUAAGGUAGCGAAAUUCCUUGUCGGGUAAGUUCCGACCUGCACGAAUGGCGUAACGACAGCGGCGCUGUCUCCACCCGAGACUCAGUGAAAUUGAAAUCGCUGUGAAGAUGCAGCGUUCCCGUGGCAAGACGGAAAGACCCCGUGAACCUUUACUAUAGCUUUACACUGAACGUUGAGUUCGUCUGUGUAGGAUAGGUGGGAGGCUAUGAAACCAUGGCGCUAGCUGUGGCGGAGCCAUCCUUGAAAUACCACCCUGUCGUGCUUGACGUUCUAACCUGGGCCCAUUAUCUGGGUCGGGGACCGUGUAUGGUGGGUAGUUUGACUGGGGCGGUCUCCUCCUAAAGAGUAACGGAGGAGCUCGAAGGUACGCUCAGCGCGGUCGGACAUCGCGCACUGUGUGCAAAGGCAUAAGCGUGCUUGACUGCAAGAUCGACGGAUCAAGCAGGUAGGAAACUAGGACUUAGUGAUCCGGUGGUUCUGUAUGGAAGGGCCAUCGCUCAACGGAUAAAAGGUACUCCGGGGAUAACAGGCUGAUACCGCCCAAGAGUUCAUAUCGACGGCGGUGUUUGGCACCUCGAUGUCGGCUCAUCACAUCCUGGGGCUGUAGUCGGUCCCAAGGGUAUGGCUGUUCGCCAUUUAAAGUGGUACGCGAGCUGGGUUCAGAACGUCGUGAGACAGUUCGGUCCCUAUCUGCCAUGGGCGUUGGAGAUUUGAGAGGGGCUGCUCCUAGUACGAGAGGACCGGAGUGGACGAACCUCUGGUGUUCCGGUUGUCACGCCAGUGGCAUUGCCGGGUAGCUAUGUUCGGAAGCGAUAACCGCUGAAAGCAUCUAAGCGGGAAGCGCGCCUCAAGAUGAGAUCUCCCGGGGCACAAGCCCCCUGAAGGAACCAUGUAGACUACGUGGUUGAUAGGUCAGGUGUGUAAGUACAGCAAUGUAUUGAGCUAACUGAUACUAAUGAUCCGUGCGGCUUGACCAUAUAACCU